CAAUCCAGCUUCAUCUUAGAGACAAAGGCAAUGGACCACUGACCCAUGUAACCUGAUCAUUAGCAAAAAAAUGGAUUCUGUCUCGAGCAUCAGGAAAUGAGAUAGAUGUCAGCUCAUUGCAGGUCUCGCUCCCAUUAACCCUUUAGGAGACUGCCGCUGAAGUUGAACGUUUCACCUUCCUAUCAAGUCCCCUCCCCCACCGCCUGUUUACAGCCACCCACCCGUCCUCUUCUUCUCCUUCUACUUUUUGUCUGAAAAGAAGACUUGACAUCCUAACAAACUUAAAAAAGCCAGACACUUUAAAUUAGCAAAAAGAAACAGAAGAGAUAUCUGCUCCAUAAGGCUAAAAGGAACGGAAAUGCUUAUGAUCUCACGAG
Long non-coding RNA from Oreochromis aureus, 377 nucleotides. RefSeq lists it as uncharacterized. The transcript has 4 exons. Lineage: Eukaryota; Metazoa; Chordata; Actinopteri; Cichliformes; Cichlidae. The record is from RefSeq and is a predicted model, not a curated record.